ACCCUGUGUCUUGCCUGGAAACGUCAUCUGGGAGCCCCAAGCCGACGGGCAUUCCUUCCUUCUGUCUCCAAGGCUCUGGCCCGAUGCUGGACCCAGACUCGAGAUUCGGGCCUCGUAGUUAACCCCAGGGUGGUCCCUGCCUCACUCGGGGCCAAGUUCAGACAAGAGGCAAUCAGGGGCUUAAGUGGCUGCCAGAGAAGGCCAGCCGCCUAGUUAUUAAAUAUUAAGUGGCAAGAGCCUGGGAACGUAAAAUUGCAAAUGAGACUUUGGAGCAGAUGUUGCCAACAGCUUGGACCAGUGCUCACAGUUGGGACCAACGGGGGAAUUCAAGUCACCAAGCUGGGCUGCUGGCAACUGCUCUGCUUUUACUGGGCACCUGCUGGGUGCCAGGCUCUGAACCGGACGCUGUAUGUAGAAAGAUUGAUCAGGCCUAACUUCAAGGGGUUCCUGGUCUGGUAAAGAAGACGAACACAGGAAGCAAAGACUCAUGAUCUGCGGGAGGGAUAAAAGUUUGCAUCAUGACAAAGAGGCAGAGAGGAACAAGCCCACGCAGACUGAAGAAGUUCAAUAGAUUCAAGAUGAGAAACUGAAGCACAGAGAGGCGAAGUCUCUUACCCAAAGUCACGCCACCUGUAGCUGGUGAGGCUGCAACCUGGACCCAGUCAGGCUGCCUCUGAAGCCUACUGCUUCCCACUGAAGCUUGGGCAUCAAGCACUGGGGUUGGGGGGGUGCAGCUUGUGUGGGGUGGGAGAAAGAUCCAUUAGGUUCUUGCACACACGGUGGCAAGUGUGAGGCCCUCAGCUGGGAGGAAGGGGCUCUAAAACAUAGCAAGAGCCUCACAUGACACCCUUGAAGGAUUUGGACUUGAACCUGAGCAGCAGUCAGGAUUCCCAGACCACCAGGACAUCUGGGCAAGACACCUACUUUGCUCCUUAAAGUGCGGUCCAUGGACCAGCUGCUUGGGCCUUACCUGAGAGCUUAUUAGAGAUGGGAGAAUCCCAGGGGCCACCCCAGACCUGCUACAUCUGGAUCCACGAGUAACAAGGUUAAACUUUGAGAAUCGUGGGUUACCUGAACUUCACCAGGUCUGGGAUCCCACCCCACAGCGAUGAAGGCAAGCAAGCCUAGCCUUGGUCAUUCCGGGGGCUUCCUCCUCCCCAGAGCUGGCUCAGUUCUGGAGUUGUAGAGAGUCCCAGAAAAUCAGAGGUGGCUUCCAGGAAUCUGUCUAUGCUGCUUUCCUUGUCACUCCUGGGCCCCAUCUUGCUGUAAAUCAAAGCCAAAAGACUGUUCCUUUUGCUGAUAUUCAGGUGAGAUUCUCCAUGUCACUUCCUUCCGGAAACUCCAUUCCCCCAGCAGGACCCUCCUGGCCACGCUUCUCCCAGCAGCUUCAGUACCUACAGAGGACACAGUGUGUCUCAGCCAUGGGCUGAUCUUCGUGCUCCCGUUCCAACAGGAAUGUCCCCAGCGCCCGCACAGCCCCCAGCCCGUGGCAGGUGCUCAGUGCGGGUCUGUGACUGAAGCAUGGCCAAACCAUCGUCCCCUCAAAGGGUCGACCAGCCCAGCAGCGUUGCGCGGCCCUGGGGUCUGUGGUGAGGCCUGAGGCCUUGCAGCUCAGCUCUGGCUUCCUGGGGCCACCCUGACGCUAACCACAAUGCUCUGUCCCCAGCUCCCAGUCCCGCUCAGUGAGGGGCAGUGUUCGCCAGUCUGGGAGCCCAUUCAUCAUUCAUGUUUCUCCAGCAUGUUCUUCCUCCCUCCGCCCCACCCCAGCCGCUCCUGAGUCUCUCUGAUAAUUUCUUUCAUUUGAGACUUUGACCAGAGCUCAGAAGGCCUUAAAUAUGAGCCACCCUUCU
Molecule: long non-coding RNA, 1850 nt
Organism: Mustela erminea (ermine)
Lineage: Eukaryota; Metazoa; Chordata; Mammalia; Carnivora; Mustelidae
Exons: 3
Source: RefSeq, a predicted model, not a curated record